RNAcentral lists this ribosomal RNA (301 nucleotides) under uncultured bacterium. Its description in RNAcentral is "partial 16S ribosomal RNA". It matches the Rfam family "Bacterial small subunit ribosomal RNA", at positions 509 to 807 of the family's 1533-position model. The record is from RNAcentral.
CAGCCGCCGCGGGAAUACGGAGGGUGCAAGCGUUAAUCGGAAUUACUGGGCGUAAAGCGUACGUAGGCGGCUUUGUAAGUUAGAGGUGAAAGCCUGGAGCUCAACUCCAGAAUUGCCUUUAAGACUGCAUCGCUUGAACGUCGGAGAGGUGAGUGGAAUUCCGAGUGUAGAGGUGAAAUUCGUAGAUAUUCGGAAGAACACCAGUGGCGAAGGCGGCUCACUGGACGACUGUUGACGCUGAGGUACGAAAGCGUGGGGAGCAAACAGGAUUAGAUACCCGAGUAGUCCCUGUCUCUUAUAC